Long non-coding RNA from Herpailurus yagouaroundi (jaguarundi), 998 nucleotides. RefSeq lists it as uncharacterized. Lineage: Eukaryota; Metazoa; Chordata; Mammalia; Carnivora; Felidae. The record is from RefSeq and is a predicted model, not a curated record. The transcript has 5 exons.
GCUGAGGGUAGUCCCAGUCCUAGCUCAGCCAGUCCUCCCUGUUAAGAUUGGGACAGGUCAUCCACACCCUUUUCUCAACCUCAGUUUCCUCAUCUGUAAAAUGGGGUUGUUGAGAUGAUUCCAUGAGAUGCCUCAUCUAAGGUAAUAAAUGUACAUGUCUCAAAGAAGGGCUCAGUGUAUGUCAAUGAAAUUUUUUUCAAAAGUGCUUCCUCCCUCCCUCCUUUGCUGGAGCAGUGGGCCAGGGAGUGAAUGGAGGCAAUGGGGCAGAUACCGUGGGGGCUUGUGGACCAUACAGAGGACUGUUGUGGUUUUUUUUUUUUUUGCCUUGGGUGAGCUAGCAGUAUGGGAUGGGAUCGGAGUCCGGUGUUCACAGGCUCCCUCUGGGCCUGGGGAGAUACUGAUUCAGUAUCUUGUCUCCAUCUCUCUCUGUCUCCCUUCUCUUUCCCUCGGCAUCCAGCGGCCUCUGAAGCUACAGCCUUCGGUACAUUCUACUGAGAAAGAGUCUGGAGCUGCAAUUUCCAAAUUGUCUACGCUUUGAGGAGGAAAGAUCUGCCCAGGCUACAGGGGAGUUUGAGGUGUUUGUGGAUGGAAAACUGGUCCAUUCAAAGAAGAAAGGCGAUGGCUUUGUGGAUGAGGCCAGGCUGCAGAAGAUUGUGAGCAUUAUCGAUGAGGAAAUUAGGAAAAGGUAGCAGGCAACCGGCCAAAGUUGUAAAGCUGUGCCACCCAAUAACAGCCUACGGCUUUUCAACUUACGGUAAGUUCAUUAAAAUUAAAUACAAUAAAAAUUCACUUGUUAGCUACACUAGCCACAUUUCAAGAGCUCUAUAGCCACAUGUUAAGCAGUGCAGAUGUAGGACAUAGAACCCAUUACUGCAGAAAGUUCCAUUGCUAACGUUGUCUUAAGGUAUUAAAGCAUAUGCACGACCAUUUAUUGGCCACCGAUACUGGAUUCUUAUUUUUUCUUUUCUUUUUAUUUAUUUUUUUUAGAGAGAAGAGAG